GGGGUUGCGUCGGGGAACGGGCUCCCGCCUCUGGUUCCCUCUGCCCGUGGCGCGCUCCUCUUCCUUCCUGGAGGCAGAAUAAAUCAAAUCAGUGUUGACUACCGCCGGGACACGAGGACACGGUGGAUCGACCUCCGAGGGUUCUCUCACCUCUUCACCGACUGCGGCUCUUGGUAAGUAUGGGUUUCCUUCCUUACCGUUCCUUUAACACUCACACGGGUUCUCUCUACUCCUCCACAGAUAACUACUGGGGACACAAAGGCACUGUGAAUCGGUUUCCAAUGGUUUCUCUCACCUCGUCGCUGACUACAGCUUCUGAGGACUCUGCGCUGACUACCGCUUUGGAUGACUGCUGGGACACAAAGGCAC
Paramisgurnus dabryanus is the source of this 369-nucleotide non-coding RNA. The record is from RefSeq and is a predicted model, not a curated record. Lineage: Eukaryota; Metazoa; Chordata; Actinopteri; Cypriniformes; Cobitidae.